This 460-nucleotide ribosomal RNA is filed under the name uncultured Treponema sp. RNAcentral's name for it is "bacterial SSU rRNA". It matches the Rfam family "Bacterial small subunit ribosomal RNA", at positions 341 to 792 of the family's 1533-position model. Lineage: Bacteria; Pseudomonadati; Spirochaetota; Spirochaetia; Treponematales; Treponemataceae. The record is from RNAcentral.
ACGGAAGGCAGCAGCUAAGAAUAUUCCGCAAUGGACGAAAGUCUGACGGAGCGACGCCGCGUGGAUGAUGAAGGUCGGAAGAUUGUAAAAUCCUUUUGGACAUGAGGAAUAAGGAGAGUGAGAGAAACGCUUUCCGGUGACUGUAGUGUCAGAAUAAGCAACGGCUAAUUACGUGCCAGCAGCCGCGGUAACACGUAAGUUGCGAGCGUUGUUCGGAAUUAUUGGGCGUAAAGGGCAUGUAGGCGGUUUUGCAAGCUUGAUGUGAAAGGCAGGAGCUUAACUCCUGGACUGCAUUGAGAACUGCAUGACUAGAGUCACUGAGGGGCAAUCAGAAUUCCUGGUGUAGGGGUGAAAUCUGUAGAUAUCAGGAAGAAUACCAAUGGCGAAGGCAGGUUACCAGCAGAUGACUGACGCUGAGGUGCGAAGGUGCGGGGAGCAAACAGGAUUAGAUACCCUGGUA